This 255-nucleotide ribosomal RNA is filed under the name uncultured bacterium. Its description in RNAcentral is "partial 16S ribosomal RNA". It matches the Rfam family "Bacterial small subunit ribosomal RNA", at positions 524 to 776 of the family's 1533-position model. The record is from RNAcentral.
UACAGAGGUCUCAAGCGUUGUUCGGAAUCACUGGGCGUAAAGGGUGCGUAGGCGGUUCCAUAAGUCAGUGGUGAAAUACAAUAGCUUAACUAUUGAGGUGCCAUUGAUACUGCGGAACUUGAGUACAGACGAGGUAGGCGGAAUUGACGGUGUAGCGGUGAAAUGCUUAGAUAUCGUCAAGAACACCGAUAGCGAAGGCAGCUUACUAGACUGUAACUGACGCUGAGGCACGAAAAGUGUGGGGGAUCAAACAGG